Molecule: ribosomal RNA, 494 nt
Filed under: uncultured bacterium
Lineage: Bacteria
Description: bacterial SSU rRNA
Rfam family: Bacterial small subunit ribosomal RNA
Source: RNAcentral
AUGAACGCUAGCGGCAGGCUAACACAUGCAAGUCGAGGGGCAGCGCGAGUAGCAAUACUUGGCGGCGACCGGCGACAAGGGUGCGUAACGCGUGAGCAACAUGCCCGUAUCAGGGGGAUAAUCCAGGGAAACUUGGUCUAAUACCCAUAGUAAUUUUGUAAGGCAUCUUAUAAGAUUUAAAGCUUUGGUGGAUACGGAUUGGCUCGCGUGACAUUAGCUGGAUGGUGAGGUAACGGCUUACCAUGGCUAUGAUGUCUAGGGGUUCUGAGAGGAAGGUCCCCCACACUGGAACUGAGACACGGUCCAGACUCCUACGGGAGGCAGCAGUGAGGAAUAUUGGACAAUGGAUGGAAAUCUGAUCCAGCCAUGCCGCGUGAAGGAAGAAAGGUCCUAUGGAUUGUAAACUUCUUUUGUAUGGGAGCAAUAAGGCCUACGAGUAGGUUGAUGAGAGUACCAUACGAAUAAGCACCGGCUAACUCCGUGCCAGCAGCUGC